RNAcentral lists this long non-coding RNA (2834 nucleotides) under Mus musculus (house mouse). RNAcentral's name for it is "Mir9-2 host gene". Lineage: Eukaryota; Metazoa; Chordata; Mammalia; Rodentia; Muridae. The record is from RNAcentral.
ACUUCACUCUGCACUCCGAGGCUCAGGGAGCAAGUGUUUGGAGUGGGGGGGAAAGUUGGCUUUUUUUCCCCCUCCUUGGUCUUUAGCGCCCUUUUCUCUCCCUCAGAAGAGAAGAGCGACAUAAACUAUUUUAGACGCAAUCAAGGAAGAAUCGCCCAUCAUGUGGAAUUGAGCGGCAGUUUUAAAUGUACUAAGAGAAGACUGGUCUCGAAAAAAAAAAAAAAAAACAUUUUUUUCCCCUUCUUUUUUUGGAGACGCCUAAAGGAGCCUGUUUGUGUGCUGUGUGGCCACGUUCUGCUGUGACUGGAUCUUGUCUUCUGCCUGGCUCCUCGAUUUCCGUCCGGCUGGAUUUGGGGACAACACUGCCUGGCGCAGACAGAUCAAAUGACACUUCAAAGAAGCAUAAAAUGAACAGACUAUUCAAACAAAGGGAGUUAAGUAGGCAUAUGGUUCCAGGCAUGGAGUCCCUCCUACUCUUUGGCCUUAAGUCCAAUUACACAGCUGUUAGCCAUUCCCAAGUCUAUUUCAAGAGAUAAAUAUUUGGAAUAAAUCUUCAUUAUGAAUUUGAGAAUUGUGUGGACAUACAUUCUUCAAGAGGAAGACAUCCUAAACAAAGAACAAUUUAAAGAUGGUGCUGGGGCAGAUGGAGUGAGAGUGACUUUCAAGCUCACUUAAAUAUGGGAGUUCUUAUAUGUCUGACAAACUCUUGAUGUCCUGAGUGCAAAAUAUCUAGGGGAACUUGCGGAGGGGGUGCUGCACUGCGAGGCGGAUGGGAAACUGACAGGCAAACUGUGCUGGGAACAACUCUCCUCAUCCCACUACCAUAGGCUCUGGCUUUUGGCAUCAGGAGUGCCAGCUGCAUCAGGAGAAGCCAAGCUUGUCAUACCAUCUUCACAUCAAAUCUUCAGGGCACAAGAGCCAGAGCAUAGUUAGAGCUUAAUGAAGAAACAAAUACAAAAGAGAAGAUUAGGCCUUGUUAACACUUGCAUUCACUUCCUUGUAUUGAAACUGCACUGGGAAGGGUGUCUUAUAGAGCCCAGUCUUCUCUUCAGCAGAGAAGUUACAUUAAGGAUGUACUUUUGUAUUGUAAAAGGGUAGGGCAGGGAGGGAAUCUUUCAGUACUCCUGUAACUAUCAGCUAGCAAAUUGUUUUGUCAAAAAUGCCAUAUGACACAGUGAUGUCCAUGACAACUGUCAAAAUUGGUAAAUAAUGCUUUUGAAAUUUUUAUAUUAAUAAUAUUGGCCUCACUGCCAUGUAAGGCAUGUAUAUGUGGUACCAGUACACUUCUUUGAAAGACUAGGUUGUGAAAUUCUGCCCAUUGUUGGGAGAUAGGAGCCUCCUCAAUGGCAAGGAGCAUUCAUGUUUUGUGGCACUACAUUAAUUUUCAAAUUAGUUGUAUUUGAGAAAAAAGGAAUCAUAUUUUUGAAGUUCUCUAUAAAGUAUCUGGAAAGUUUGACAGCAGAAUGCUACAGUUAUUUUUUUUUUUUAAUUGUUGUCAGCAGUCAGUCAACUACACAAAGGAGUACUGUGUACAGCUAGGAUGCAAAACCUGUUUUUGUUUAUGCUGUCUACCGCUAUACUGUCCUAAAGGGAACACUUAUACUUAAUGGAAUAAUCUGCUUUCUCCUCCACACUUCCACACUUGUGCACAGGGUCUUCUCAGAAAAGUCACAUCUCUGGUCCUUACACUGUAGACCAUGUUGAAGGGAGGCAGGUUAUUUGUGAAGGGAUCUGAGAGGGUGCACGUUGCUGUAUUAGAAGUGAAACACUUGAUUUUUACAAAGUCUUCUAAGUCUUAGACACAAGCGCAAUGAUAUAAGCUUGUAUGUAUGUCAACCUUUGCCUGAUCUGUAGAAAAAAGUAAAAAUAUGGAGAGCUAGGAAGUAUUUCAGGAAGUAAGUUCAUGGCUGUACUCCCCAUAGUCAUAUACAACUAUAGAUCAAAGCACAAUGCAAACUUACUGCUAAAUGAGUUUAUUUUAUAAGAAAAAUACUUAAAAUGCACUACAGAAAUAGCUGAAAGAAAAGUCAUUUCACAUCACCCUGUAUCAAUCCAAGUGAAUUCACACCUACUCUUACAUAGUGAUAGAAAGCAAAGGUGUGUAGUGUAGGUUUUACUUCAUAAAGAAAGCUCAGCCUUGUAUAUAGUUGGAUGUUACAGUUCAUAUGUAACUACCAAAUUAUGUCCCCACUUUUGAAGGCCAUUCCUUGAAUUUUCUCUUGUCUAGUAUAAAUGUGUUCUUUUUGUUUUUUUUUUUUUUACUUAUAUGACUAAAAGAAAAAACUAUUUCUGUAAGACAGAAAUGAUUUCUUCUGUUCUGUUUGUAUCUGAUGAUACCAUCAAACAAAUGCCGUGUAUCUAGACCUACUGCAAUUUUGCUGUUUGGGGUCAUUAUAUUUGCAUGAUGUGAUUUUGUCCAUGAUAUAUGUAUAUCAAAUACACAUAUUAUAGAUUUCAUAGUCCACAUACUCCUUGUACUCUAAUAUCAUGGAUGUCACCAGCCUAACAUGGCUGCUUCUUAAGACCUGGGGUCAUGUUGUAGGGAGAUGACCUCAUCAAAAACACUUCUCAGAGAAAAUUGUUACAAUGAAAUCAUUAUUCAAAUGAUGCUUGGUAUUUUUUUUUUUGCAUUAAUUCUCCCAUGUUUUCAGACCAAGGACCGCUGCAACCUGAAUAUUACUGCUUUUUACGUAUUAACUUUAUUAGUGAUCACCAUAGUAGUUUAUAAUUAAAUUUGUCAAGCAGAUACAUAUAGUGUCUCCAAAUAUAUUUGGUUAGUACUUUACUGUUAAUACAACUUUGUGACAACAAAUAAAUGAGACUUUUUUUCUGAA